Phalacrocorax carbo (great cormorant) is the source of this 1161-nucleotide non-coding RNA. Lineage: Eukaryota; Metazoa; Chordata; Aves; Suliformes; Phalacrocoracidae. The record is from RefSeq and is a predicted model, not a curated record.
UGAGACCCCUGAGAACUGGCAUGCCUAGGAGCAGGACAACCAAAGGACUUUUGCCCACAGAGCUGUGGCAGCUUCACGAAUGCAAGGGAGUUUUUCCUGUGUGGAAGGUCCACUGAAACACAGAAUACUUCUGCAGCACAGUCUGCCAAAGCUGAUUAUGAAAGAGGCAAUUUGGAACAUGGAGCCUCAAGCUGGACUUUAGAAAACAAGAGGCACCUGGGAAAUGAUGUGCAACUUACAGAGACUCUAAAUACGCUCUGGCAAAACCAAAAUUCCCCUAAGGACCUCAGUCAGCCAAGGGUGAAGCAGUGACCUUGGACACAUGUUUACCCUUCUUGGAUCUGAUCUCCAUAAUGCAUCUGCUAUUAUAGCUAAGGGAUACCAUCAGUACACUCGCUUCCUUUUGCAUCCUGGUUUUUGCUCCAAUUCCUGAAUGCAGUUUUAAGUCACUCUGAAACAUACCAUAAGUAGGGGGCUAUGUCUAGCUACUGUGUGUCCCACACACUGUCUGGAGAAGUUCAGGUUUGGGCUGGCUUGGAGAGAAUCCUGUGGUUACUUGUGUCAUAUAGGGUAGAGAGACCCUUCCAAUUUUAUUUGUAGACGAACCCUGCCACACUACCCAAAAGAUGUCAAUGCCAUGGGUGCAAUAACUUUUUAAUGAAUUCACUUGAAAUGAGGGUGUCUUCCUUGAAAUCUCAAGCAACAAGUCUGAAACUGAAAUUCUGACAGCCCAACCAAGGUUUGCUUCUUGUUAUCUUUGAUUAAGAAGCAAGCAAGAUCAAAGAUAUUUGCUCGGUCCGUGUACUCUCCAGGGACUGCAGAUGGACCAACCAUGGGUGAAUAGGACUCUUCCUGUCAAGGGGACCUCACAGCAGUAGCUGUGCUCACAACUCCAUUCCCCACAGUAGCUGGGGUCUUGUUCAGACUGGCUGCAGGGGAGAGGCAUUCCAGGGCAGGAGAGCUGAGCUGGGCGAGUACAAUGCAUGCCCACCGAUCCCAACCUGCAAAACACUCCCCAGGGAUCAUGCUAGCCCAGGCAAGUGAGAACAGAUAAGUCUGUACAAAAAGCAUGCCAGAAAAACUAUCAGUGUAGCCAGCUUUAUUCAAAAUGUUUGCAAAGCUUAGCAAUUCAAUUCUCAUUUAAAUAAAAGGAAAAACGAG